CUCCCUGUGGCUCAGUUGGUAGAGCAUGGUGUUUGCAACGCCAGCAUGGUGUGUGCAACGCCAGGGUUGUGGGUUCGAUUCCCCAGGGGGG
RNAcentral lists this transfer RNA (91 nucleotides) under Salmo salar (Atlantic salmon). It matches the Rfam family "tRNA". From Rfam's summary of the family: Transfer RNA (tRNA) molecules are approximately 80 nucleotides in length. The record is from Rfam by way of RNAcentral. Lineage: Eukaryota; Metazoa; Chordata; Actinopteri; Salmoniformes; Salmonidae.